This 502-nucleotide ribosomal RNA is filed under the name uncultured Sphingobacteriales bacterium. Its description in RNAcentral is "bacterial SSU rRNA". It matches the Rfam family "Bacterial small subunit ribosomal RNA", at positions 903 to 1382 of the family's 1533-position model. Lineage: Bacteria; Pseudomonadati; Bacteroidota; Sphingobacteriia; Sphingobacteriales. The record is from RNAcentral.
CGCCUUGCCAGCCCGCUCAGAACUCAAAGGAAGUUGACGGGGCCCGCACAAGCGGUGGAGCAUGUGGUUUAAUUCGAUGAUACGCGAGGAACCUUACCUGGGCUCAAAUGUAUGUUGACGUAUUCUGAAAGGGAUACUUCUUCGGACAAUAUACAAGGUGCUGCAUGGUUGUCGUCAGCUCGUGCCGUGAGGUGUCGGGUUAAGUCCCAUAACGAGCGCAACCCCUAUCAUUAGUUGCCAUCAGGUCAAGCUGGGGACUCUAAUGAAACUGCCUACGCAAGUAGUGAGGAAGGUGGGGAUGACGUCAAAUCAGCACGGCCCUUACGUCCAGGGCUACACACGUGCUACAAUGGUCGGUACAAAGGGUUGCCAAGCCGCGAGGUGGAGCUAAUCCCAUAAAACCGAUCGUAGUCCGGAUCGCAGUCUGCAACUCGACUGCGUGAAGUCGGAAUCGCUAGUAAUCGUGAAUCAGAAUGUCACGGUGAAUACGUUCCCGGGCCUU